This 460-nucleotide ribosomal RNA is filed under the name uncultured bacterium. Its description in RNAcentral is "partial 16S ribosomal RNA". It matches the Rfam family "Bacterial small subunit ribosomal RNA", at positions 338 to 795 of the family's 1533-position model. The record is from RNAcentral.
CCUACGGGAGGCAGCAGUGAGGAAUAUUGGUCAAUGGACGAGAGUCUGAACCAGCCAAGUAGCGUGAAGGAUGACUGCCCUAUGGGUUGUAAACUUCUUUUAUAUGGGAAUAAAACAGGGCAUGCAUACCUUUUUGUAUGUACUAUAUGAAUAAGGAUCGGCUAACUCCGUGCCAGCAGCCGCGGUAAUACGGAGGAUCCGAGCGUUAUCCGGAUUUAUUGGGUUUAAAGGGAGCGUAGGUGGGUUGUUAAGUCAGUUGUGAAAGUUUGCGGCUCAACCGUAAAAUUGCAGUUGAAACUGGCAGUCUUGAGUACAGUAGAGGUGAGCGGAAUUCGUGGUGUAGCGGUGAAAUGCUUAGAUAUCACGAAGAACUCCGAUUGCGAAGGCAGCUCACUAAACUGCAACUGACACUGAUGCUCGAAAGUGUGGGUAUCAAACAGGAUUAGAUACCCCUGUAGUC